CAGCCGCCGCGGUAAUACGUAGGGUGCAAGCGUUAAUCGGAAUUACUGGGCGUAAAGCGUGCGCAGGCGGUUAUAUAAGUCAGAUGUGAAAUCCCCGGGCUCAGCCUGGGAACUGCAUUUGAGACUGUAUGGCUAGAGCGUGUCAGAGGGGGGUAGAAUUCCACGUGUAGCAGUGAAAUGCGUAGAUAUGUGGAGGAAUACCGAUGGCGAAGGCAGCCCCCUGGGAUAACACUGACGCUGAGGCUCGAAAGCGUGGGGAGCAAACAGGAUUAGAUACCCGUGUAGUCCCUGUCUCUUAUAC
RNAcentral lists this ribosomal RNA (301 nucleotides) under uncultured bacterium. Its description in RNAcentral is "partial 16S ribosomal RNA". It matches the Rfam family "Bacterial small subunit ribosomal RNA", at positions 509 to 807 of the family's 1533-position model. The record is from RNAcentral.